AUGCGCAUGAAUGCAACGACGCGGGGCAAGGCCACCCCGGUGAACCUAGCGCACCACGCCUACUGGAACCUCGGCGGCCACGGCAGCGGCAGCGUCCUCGGCGAGGAGGUCCGCCUUUUCGCCUCCCGGUACACGCCCGUGGACGCCACGCUCAUCCCGACGGGUCACCUCGCGCCCGCGGCCGGCACGCCCUACGACUUACGCAGGCCGGCGACCGUGGGCUCGCGCAUCGGGGGCCUCCUGAGCCGGGGCGUCGAUGGGUACGACAUCAACUACGUCGUGGACGGCGGGGGCCUGGUGGCGGUCGUCCGGGACGGCGCGUCCGGCAGGGCGAUGGAGCUGUGGGCUGACCAGCCCGGGGUGCAGUUCUACAAGGCCAACGGGCUCAGCGGGGUGAGGGGAAAGGGCGGCAAGGUCUACGCUCGGUACGGCGCGCUAUGCCUGGAGACGCAGGGGUUACCCUAUGCCGUGCCCAUGAACCGCCCGAGCUUCCCGUCGCAGAUCGUCCGGCCGAGGAAGGUGUACAGGCAUCACAUGGUGUUCAAGUUCACCUUCUAG
This 558-nucleotide ribosomal RNA is filed under the name Triticum aestivum (bread wheat). Its description in RNAcentral is "partial small subunit ribosomal RNA". Lineage: Eukaryota; Viridiplantae; Streptophyta; Magnoliopsida; Poales; Poaceae. The record is from RNAcentral.